Molecule: ribosomal RNA, 505 nt
Filed under: uncultured bacterium
Lineage: Bacteria
Description: partial 16S ribosomal RNA
Rfam family: Bacterial small subunit ribosomal RNA
Source: RNAcentral
GACGAACGCUGGCGGCGUGCCUAAUACAUGCAAGUAGAACGCACAGUUUAUACCGUAGCUUGCUACACCAUAGACUGUGAGUUGCGAACGGGUGAGUAACGCGUAGGUAACCUGCCUGGUAGCGGGGGAUAACUAUUGGAAACGAUAGCUAAUACCGCAUAAUAUUGAUUAUUGCAUGAUAAUUAAUUGAAAGGUGCAAUUGCACCACUACCAGAUGGACCUGCGUUGUAUUAGCUAGUAGGUGAGGUAACGGCUCACCUAGGCGACGAUACAUAGCCGACCUGCGAGGGGGAUCGGCCACACUGGGACUGAGACACGGCCCAGACUCCUACGGGAGGCAGCAGUAGGGAAUCUUCGGCAAUGGACGAAAGUCUGACCGAGCAACGCCGCGUGAGUGAAGAAGGUUUUCGGAUCGUAAAGCUCUGUUGUAAGAGAAGAACGGGUGUGAGAGUGGAAAGUUCACACUGUGACGGUAUCUUACCAGAAAGGGACGGCUAACUACGUG